RNAcentral lists this long non-coding RNA (9105 nucleotides) under Populus tremula. RNAcentral describes it as "long non-coding RNA (PTRE_LNC000555)". The record is from RNAcentral. Lineage: Eukaryota; Viridiplantae; Streptophyta; Magnoliopsida; Malpighiales; Salicaceae.
UUUUGCUUAAGGGUCCAAUUGCCAAAUUUCUAAAGUUCAGGGAUCAAAAUGACAAUAUCCACUGCUGCUUGAAACGUCGUCGUUGCUGGUAGAAUUCCUUGCUGCCAAAACGCUGCCGUUGCUGGUGGAACAACCGUGUGAUCUUCUUCAUCCCGAUUCAACAGGAUACCUGAAAAUCUGCAACAGAUUCAAUCGUGGACCGCGUCCCUUGCCCACGAUCUCGUUCGUGGAAGAGACAGUCCUGCAAAGGCAGGACUGAUUAGGGGCAAGCUGUGGGUCUCUAUAAAAGAGAGACCGAAGGCAAUCCCAGAAGAGGAGAGGAACCAAAAACAGAACCAAAAAUACACAGAGAAGAACAGAAACAUCAACCCAAAACAGAGUAACAAAAAAGGGCAUAAACCAAACAAAAAUACCAACGCAGAAAAAGAGAGAAAGGAGGAGGGGAGUCACGGAUCAAUCUUGUUUUUUCCUACAAGAAAGCAAUUAAUCCCCUAACCAUCGAUUAUCAACAGAACUCAGUCGAACUCCACCAGCGCUGCAGCCUUCUUCACCGCCUUCUGAAACAGGAUCCCAAUCGAUCACCGAACCAUUGGCAUUUGACAGAAAGCAGUAGAACCCACACCAGCGUUGCAACCCUCCUCAGCAUCGUUUGAAACAGCAAGCAGUCGAACUCCACCAGCGCUGCAGCCUUCUUCAAUCGCCAGAAACAGGUGCGCCUUUUCCAUUUUUUCUCUGUUCUUCGGUGUCUAAUUAAUUGUUUGAAGUUUGAACAGUGCGAAGGUAAUUUAAUUACCUUCGCACUGUUGAAUGCACGCGUGAUUUGUUUCACGCGUGCAUCCUGUUUUUAGCCGGGUCACUGGCUUGGGCCAGUGACCCGGGCCAGGCUGGCUGGGUUCAGCCCAGCCCCUGUGGGGCUGAGCUGAGCCCAGCCACUUGCUGGGCUGGGUUUAGCCCGGCCCAGCACAAAACUAAAAAAUAUAAACAUGUAAAAAAUAUAUAUAAAAAAAAAUUGUGUAGGUAAAAAAUUUAUACAUAAAUGAAUUUAUUGUUUAUUUAUUUAUUUAUUCAUUGACAAAGAAAAAGAACACAAAGUAAAUAGAAUAAAUUUAUUUAAGUAUAUUCACCGACGCCAGAGUCGGGAAUAAAAAAUACUAAGGUAAAUUUAUUUUAUUUUAUUUUUGUUUCACAUGCGUAAAAAUAAUUUGAUAAAGCAAUGAAUCGAUUUUAUUUUGUUUAUUCACAUAAGAUAAAAUAGGAUAAAUUUAUUUAAGUAUAUUCACCGACGCCAGAGUCGGGAAUAAAAAAUACUAAGGUAAAUUUAUUUUAUUUUAUUUUUGUUUCACAUGCGUAAAAAUAAUUUGAUAAAGCAAUGAAUUGAUUUUAUUUUGUAUAUUCACAUAAGAUAAAAUAGGAUAAAUUUAUUUAGUAUAUUCACCGACGCCAGAGUCGGGAAUAAUAAAAAUACUAAUGUAAAUUUAUUUUAUUUUUUUUAAAAUUGAUUUCUACUUGUUUAUUCACUGACGUCAGAGUCAGGAAUAUAAUAAAAAAACAUUUGAUUUAAAUUUAUUUUUUAGCUACGUUAUAUUUAUCAACGCCAGAGUUGGAAAUAUUCGUAGUUAAUAUUCACUGGCGCAGAGUCAGGAAUAUUGUAAGAAAAUUUUCAUAACAUAAAAAUAAACAUUUUGUAAUUUAAGACGAAACUAGCAAUGCAGCCUGCCUCAGGCAGGACGUUUAAGGGGUGAUAAUAUCUUCCCUUUUACGUAACCAGUCCCGAACCAUAGAAUCUCUGUUGACCAGUUAGGGUUUCUAGUGACCAUAAUACUAGGUGGCGACUCCUUAUCCACAUUAAAGAACAUGAUGCCAGAAAUCUGUUCUUUCCAAAGAUUUAAAGAAAUUUUUAAGGCCGCCGCGAUGUCGGGUGCGACAGAAUGGCGACUCCACUGGGGACUAAUGGACUAAGCUUUGCCUUUUGUUUAUCAAUUGUUAUAAUGUUUUUUAUGUUAUGUUUAUUUGUUUAUUUUUCUUGAAUUUACUGCUUUAGCAUGCAUCCAUGUUUAUAUUGUCAUGCAUCACGUUGAGAGCACACACCUUAAAAUCUAGGAUAAGUGGGAAAGUAACGGUACCCCAAUGGCUUUAUCCUGGGUAAGACUCGUGAAACCAUCCAACUCUCGCUUGAUUGUUUACUUGGAAGUGGUUGAUAUGCCAAACUGAUAUUACUCAGGGCCUCUAUUUUCACACUACUUGUAAGCCUCAUAUCGACCUUUCAUGGACGAUCACUGAGCAUGCGAGAGACCCUUUGAAACUAGAUAGUGACCAACCCUUUGAUGCACUCAACAAUUAGGAUCUUCCUAUUAGGUUGUCAUCCCGUGAAGGACGUGUCUGCAUUCCAUAUACAUUUUUAAUUGAAUCAACAUUUUUGCAUAAAUUGCAUGAUUUAUAUUUACAAGUUGAAAUAUAGGUUCCCAUUUGAAACCUACAAAUAAUAAACCCUUUCGAGAAAAGACAAAUGGAAAACGAAGAAAGAGCCCAGUUGGAAGCCCAACAUCAUAAAGAGGUGGACAAUCUUAAAGAAGAAGUCGCAAGGCUUACUAGUCUACUCGAGCAGGCCUUGAGAGAUAAAACCGGAAAAGCAACACUUAUAGCUCAGCCUGAACCUAUGCUUGUAAAUUCCUUCAAUCCACAGAAUCUGGGGGCAAAUGGGUUGUCAUCUGAUUUUCAACAAGUCAUGCAUUUUCAACCAGCAUACCCCACGAGAAUGUCGUUUACCAUUGAUUCUACAGAGAAUGAAUCUCAAAAGGACAAAAUGGUAAAAGAAGAUGAGCUGAACAAAUUCAUUGCCCUAGAACAAAGGAUGAGGGCAUUUGAGGGAAUUCACCUAUAUGAUCCUAUAAAGGCUGCUGAGAUGUGUUUGGUGCCCAACGUUGUCAUUCCCAAAAAGUUUAGAGUGCCAGAAUUUAUCAAAUAUACGGGAACUCAAUGCCCUAUAACUCAUCUCAAAGCAUACUGCAACAAAAUGGCUGAGGUGGUUGAUGAUGAGAAACUGCUGAUUCAUUUCUUUCAAGACAGUCUAAGUAAUGGUGCCCUCACUUGGUAUAUGCGGUUAGACAAUACCAAGGUUAAAAAAUGGAAGGAUUUAGUUGAUGCCUUCAUGAGGCAAUAUAAGUUCAAUAUAGAUGUGGGCCCUGAUCGGUUAAGCUUGCAAGCUAUGGAGAAGGAUAGCAAAGAGUCCAUAAGAGAAUACGCCCGAAGAUGGAGUGAGGUAGCUGCACAAGUUAAUCCUCCCAUGUUGGAAAAAGAAAUGAUCAGUUUAUUUUCCAACACCUUUAAAGCUCCUUACUUUGAAUACUUGGUUAGAAGCUCUGCACAACAUUUACUGACCUGGUUUUAUAGCUGAGAGGAUUGAACAAGCCAUUGGGUUAGGUAAAAUUGAUGAUCCGACUGAAAAAGAACAGUUUCACUGAAAAGGGAAAGGACACUGAAAGGGGUUGCCAAGGCACUUACUGUUCUUACAAAUGACUUCAACUAACUGUUGAAAAGAUGCCCUUGUCGAGGAGAAGAAUGAUUGAAAGAUUCCAGAAAUUCUAAUCAAUGAUCGCUAAAUGUUUAGCCCCUUUAUAUGUUAUCAUGCCAAUAUUCAUAGCCCAAGAUGUUGUCAUAAGUUCUUCCUUGUUGAACUUAUUUUCUAAAGUUUCAAUGACAAUAAUGAGUUUGUCAUUCAAUCGUGUUUACGAUUAGCAUUAUUCAUUUUUUUUCUGAGAGAGUUUUCUUAUAAAGAUUCACAAACACAUCUUUGAAGCCUUGUGCGAUCUCAUAGACGCAAUUCAUCUCUUUUACCAAAAAUCAGUUUCUCUAUUAGAGUUUUGAAAAAAUUGAUCUGGCAUUUUGAUUUCAAAAAAUAAUUUGAUGUUUAUUCAAAAACAAUAUUUUUGACAUUCUACUUGUAGAAUGACAAGUAAAUCAAGCAACUCCAUCAUUGAGGUAACUAAAUUAAAAAAAAAAAUUGUGAAAAAAGAGAGAAUAAACACCCUUACCCCAUUACUCUUGAAUCAUGUGUUUUUAAAUGUAUGAAUAAUGGUAUGUAGUGAACUUGUUGCUCAUAACUCAUGAAAUGCAUCUUUGCAAAGAAUAAACCAUCACAUUAUACAAGGUCAAAGUUUAUUGAUCAUAGUUGCUUGCGCUUGAAAUGAGAAAAGGCCAUCUUUGUUAUUCCUUUCACGUUCUAAAAUAAGUACAUCCCUUGCAAACCCUUUUUGAGCCUGAAUAAUUUUUCUUUCAUAAAAAAUCCCGACUAAGAUCACACCCUAUACUGGGGCAAAUGAAAUUUCAAUAAUCAAGAAGGAUGAUAAAGCCAUGAGAAAGCCAAAAGGCAAAAGAGCCCAAGAAACUCAAAUGCUAGAGAUCAUGCCCACAUCACAAAAAAAAGGGGCAAGUGAAAUUUCAAUUAUCAAGAAAGAGGAUAAAGCCGUGAGAAAGCCAAAAGGCAAAAGAGCCCAAGAAACUCAAUACUAGGGGGCAUGCCCAAAUCACAAGAAAAAGUGAUAACCAAGAUAAAUGAGUAGCUCUAACUAGGAAGCAAUGAAAAAGAAGAAAAGGGGCAAAUCAAAGAAAGCGGCAAAGGAAAAUAUGAAUGACAUCAAAAGUCAAACUAUUGAUCGUGAUCUUCAGUCUUUGAAACCCUGAAACACUCUUUGAGCCUUAUGAAUCCUUUUCUUUCAUAGCCAAAAACCAAAGCCUACGUUACGUGCCUGUAGAAGUCCUUUCUAAUCAAGCAAGCAAGCAAUCUAGAACAAUAAACAAUGCUCUCAAAAUGCAAAGAAUACUUUUUCAUAAGAUUCAUGACAUCAAGAAUAAACUACUCAUUAUUAUUCAUGCUGAUAAAAAUAAAUGUUCAAAAAGAGACAAGUUUUUCUCAUACAAAACCUCGAGCUUUUUCUCGAGCCCUUCACUUCGAAACAAAAGGUCAUCUCAUGAUAUAUUUUAACCAAAGACCUCAUUACCAAACACAAGAGCAAAUAAUCUCUUUUCCUAGAAAAAAAAUAACCAAGGAGUUGCAAGAUUUCAAAAGCAAAUUGUUAUUUGACUCACAUCGAAAUAAUUUUUGUUUUCAAAAUGCAAGAUCAAGAUUUCAAGAUUCAUUCUAGACCCAUAUUCCUCUACCAAACUGAAAAUGAGAGAAAUGAGAGAAUGACCUCUUAAAACCUUUAUUUAUCUAAGUCGCUGACAGAAGCACACUUAGGGGCAAUAACCAAUACAAGGGGCAACAUUGUGUUUAGAAGGAAAGAUUCUAGAAAAGGAGAUGGUAAUUUCCUUCAACCAGACAAGGGGGCAUUUUGGUUUACAAAAGACAGCUCAAUCCUUUCAGCAAGUGAUACCGAAUGUUUAUGGCAGUGAGACGAGGGGUAAUGAAUAAUCCUCUCAAAUUAUUUGACGAAUCAGAAGAUCUCUAGCAAGCAAGUGGGUCACGAUGGGCACCAUAAAUGCUGAGUUGUGCAAACAAAUUUGGAAAUAGACUUACAUGGGCCAACUUGAGUGGGCUAGAAAGCUAAACGACAAAGAAUGACUCAAAUCAGAUAGCAAGAUCUCACCAACCAAGCAACGAGAAGAUUAAGAAGAAAUGGGGGCUUAUAUUUCAAAUCAGGUAACGAUGCAUGCAUAUCAUUUAAACUUUGAGACAUUGGACAAUGAGUUUUGCAAAUUUUAUAGAGAAAAUUCUAAUGGAAUCCAUCAAGCAGAAGGCCAACUUGAAAUGACGAACAUUGAAAUUUUUUGAAAAAUUUUCACUUUUGAGAAUUUUUUCAACCGGGCAGGCCCCAUGAGAAUUAGAUCACCUGAAAAAUCUCCCUGUAUUUUUCCACCACCUUUCAGUUUCGACCAUCAAAGGUAGUGCAUUUUCUAUCCUACCUCCAUUCGAGCGCGCCUUCGAGCCCUCGUCUUAUCAUUCGAGCGCGCCUUCGAGCCUCGUUACAUUCGAGCGCGCCUUCGAGCCCUGUCUUACAUUCGAGCGCGCCUUCGAGCCCUCGUCUUAUCCAUUCGAGCGCGCCUUCGAGCCCUCGUCUUACAUUCGAGCGCGCCUUCGAGCCCUCGUCUUAUCCAUUCGAGCGCGCCUUCGAGCCCUCGUCUUACAUUCGAGCGCGCCUUCGAGCCCUCGUCUUAUCCAUUCGAGCGCGCCUUCGAGCCCUCGUCUUACAUUCGAGCGCGCCUUGAGCCCUCGUCUUAUUUAUUUUCGAGCGCGCCUUCGAGCCCUCGACCAUCAAAGGUAGUGCAUUUUCUAUCCUACCUCCAUUCGAGUGCGCCUUCGAGCCCUCGUCUUACAUUCGAGCGCGCCUUCGAGCCCUCGUCUUAUCCAUUCGAGCGCGCCUUCGAGCCCUCGUCCUUACAUUCGAGCGCGCCUUCGAGCCCUCGUCUUAUCCAUUCGAGCGCGCCUUCGAGCCCUCGACCAUCAAAGGUAGUGCAUUUUCUAUCCUACCUCCAUUCGAGCGCGCCUUCGAGCCCUCGUCUUAUCCAUUCGAGCGCGCCUUCGAGCCCUCGUCUUACAUUCGAGCGCGCCUUUGAGCCCUCGUCUUAUUUAUUUUUGAGCGCGCCUUCGAGCCCUCGACCAUCAAAGGUAGUGCAUUUUCUAUCCUACCUCCAUUCGAGCGCGCCUUCGAGCCCUCGUCUUACAUUCGAGCGCGCCUUCGAGCCCUCGUCUUAUCCAUUCGAGCGCGCCUUCGAGCCCUCGUCUUACAUUCGAGCGCGCCUUUGAGCCCUCGUCUUAUUUAUUUUCGAGCGCGCCUUCGAGCCCUCGACCAUCAAAGGUAGUGCAUUUUCUAUCCUACCUCCAUUCGAGCGCGCCUUUGAGCCCUCGUCUUAUUUAUUUUCGAGCGCGCCUUCGAGCCCUCGACCAUCAAAGGUAGUGCAUUUUCUAUCCUACCUCCAUUCGAGCGCGCCUUCGAGCCCUCGUCUUAUCCAUUCGAGCGCGCCUUCGAGCCCUCGUCUUACAUUCGAGCGCGCCUUUGAGCCCGUCGUCUUAUUUUUUUUGAGCGCGCCUUCGAGCCCUCGACCAUCAAAGGUAGUGCAUUUUCUAUCCUACCUCCAUUCGAGUGCGCCUUCGAGCCCUCGUCUUAUCCAUUCGAGCGCGCCUUCGAGCCCUCGUCUUACAUUCGAGCGCGCCUUCGAGCCCUCGUCUUAUCCAUUCGAGCGCGCCUUCGAGCCCUCGUCUUAUCCAUUCGAGCGCGUCUUCGAGCCCUCGUCUUACAUUCGAGCGCGCCUUUGAGCCCUCGUCUUAUUUAUUUUCGAGCGCGCCUUCGAGCCCUCGACCAUCAAAGGUAGUGCAUUUUCUAUCCUACCUCCAUUCGAGUGCGCCUUCGAGCCCUCGUCUUAUCCAUUCGAGCGCGCCUUCGAGCCCUCGUCUUACAUUCGAGCGCGCCUUUGAGCCCUCGUCUUAUUUAUUUUUGAGCGCGCCUUCGAGCCCUCGACCAUCAAAGGUAGUGCAUUUUCUAUCCUACCUCCAUUCGAGCGCGCCUUCGAGCCCUCGUCUUAUCCAUUCGAGCGCGCCUUCGAGCCCUCGUCUUACAUUCGAGCGCGCCUUUGAGCCCUCGUCUUAUUUAUUUUGGAGCGCGCCUUCGAGCCCUCGUCUUAUAUUCGAGCGCGCCUUCGAGCCCUCGUCUUAUUAAAAAAAAAAUCUUUGUAUUUUUCCACUGGGUAGGUAACCCAUUACAAUAUACCAAAAACAAAAAAAUGAGUUGUCUCCUAAAUGACUUGUUUCUUGAUUUCUACAUCUCUUUGUAAAGAUUAUGCGUCAAUCUACUGUUUUCAAGACUAAAAAAAAAGCAAAAAACAAAAGUUCUUUCCGUAUCUACUUUUCUUUAUAAAUUUACUACACAAAGCUAAAAGAAAAUGAAUUUUCUUUUAUCUUUGCAUAGUAAAUAUUAUAAAGAGGGGGCAACUGUCAUAACCCAAUUUUUGAACAAAUAAAAAAAUUAAAAUGGGGUUAAAACAACAAAUUUUGAAGUUUACGGAUAAAAAUAUCAGAUUUGAGAAUAAUUGAUCAGAAAUUGAAGAAUUAAUAAGUUUGGAAAUUUAUUUAAAAUUUGGAUUAGUUUAAUUAAUGAAAUUAUAAGAAUUAAUAAGUUUGCGGACUUAAUUAAACUUUGUUUAAAUUAAUUAAAUAAAUUCAGGGACUUAAUUGAAAUUUAUCCAAAAAGGGCAAAAUUGAAAGAAUUAAUUAAGGAUCAAAUUGAAAAAUCCAAGGACUUAAUUGAAAAUAAUCCAGGAAUUAAGGACUGUUUUGUAAAGUUUAAUUUUUAUUUUUUGCUUAAGGGUCCAAUUGCCAAAUUUCUAAAGUUCAGGGAUCAAAAUGACAAUAUCCACUGCUGCUUGAAACGUCGUCGUUGCUGGUAGAAUUCCUUGCUGCCAAAACGCUGCCGUUGCUGGUGGAACAACCGUGUGAUCUUCUUCAUCCCGAUUCAACAGGAUACCUGAAAAUCUGCAACAGAUUCAAUCGUGGACCGCGUCCCUUGCCCACGAUCUCGUUCGUGGAAGAGACAGUCCUGCAAAGGCAGGACUGAUUAGGGGCAAGCUGUGGGUCUCUAUAAAAGAGAGACCGAAGGCAAUCCCAGAAGAGGAGAGGAACCAAAAACAGAACCAAAAAUACACAGAGAAGAACAGAAACAUCAACCCAAAACAGAGUAACAAAAAAGGGCAUAAACCAAACAAAAAUACCAACGCAGAAAAAGAGAGAAAGGAGGAGGGGAGUCACGGAUCAAUCUUGUUUUCUUUCCUACAAGAAAGCAAUUAAUCCCCUAACCAUCGAUUAUCAACAGAACUCAGUCGAACUCCACCAGCGCUGCAGCCUUCUUCACCGCCUUCUGAAACAGGAUCCCAAUCGAUCACCGAACCAUUGGCAUUUGACAGAAAGCAGUAGAACCCACACCAGCGUUGCAACCCUCCUCAGCAUCGUUUGAAACAGCAAGCAGUCGAACUCCACCAGCGCUGCAGCCUUCUUCAAUCGCCAGAAACAGGUGCGCCUUUUCCAUUUUUUCUCUGUUCUUCGGUGUCUAAUUAAUUGUUUGAAGUUUGAACAGUGCGAAGGUAAUUUAAUUACCUUCGCACUGUUGAAUGCACGCG